UCGCCUGUUUAUCAAAAACAUCGCCUCUUGCAAACAUUGAAGUAUUAGAGGUCCCGCCUGCCCUGUGACAGCAGUGUUUAACGGCCGCGGUAUUUUAACCGCGCGAAGGUAGCGUAAUCACUUGUCUUUUAAAUGGAGACCUGUAUGAAUGGCAUAACGAGGGUCUGACUGUCUCCUACACCUAGUCAAUGAAAUUGAUCUGCCCGUGCAGAAGCGGGCAUACCUACAUAAGACGAGAAGACCCUAUGGAGCUUUAGGUAAAUGAUCAAGCGAAACAAGUCACGGCCAUAGUAAAGGCCUAGAAAAACAAGAACUAAUGAUCAAGAUGCCUUCGGUUGGGGCGACCAUGGAGGAAACAAAAGCCUCCAAGUGGAAAGGGAAAGCCCUUGAACUAAGAGAGACACCUCGAAGUAACAGAAUUUGUGACCAAAUAUGACCCAGGAUUUUAACCUGAUCAACGAACCCAGUUACCCUAGGGAUAACAGCGCAAUCCUCUCCCAGAGUCCCUAUCGACGAGGGGGUUUACGACCUCGAUGUUGGAUCAGGGCAUCCUAAUGGUGCAGCCGCUAUUAAGGGUUCGUUUGUUCAACGAUUAACAGUCCUACGUGAUCUGAGUUCAGACCGG
Molecule: ribosomal RNA, 625 nt
Filed under: Gymnothorax meleagris (turkey moray)
Lineage: Eukaryota; Metazoa; Chordata; Actinopteri; Anguilliformes; Muraenidae
Description: partial 16S ribosomal RNA subunit
Rfam family: Bacterial large subunit ribosomal RNA
Source: RNAcentral